This 535-nucleotide ribosomal RNA is filed under the name Hymenoscyphus sp. WYZ-2014e. RNAcentral's name for it is "eukaryotic LSU rRNA". The stretch from base 196 to 349 matches the Rfam family "5.8S ribosomal RNA". Lineage: Eukaryota; Fungi; Ascomycota; Leotiomycetes; Helotiales; Helotiaceae. The record is from RNAcentral.
AAGGAUCAUUAAUGCGCCCCUGGGUAUAAUCGGUCAGAAAUGGCCGAUUAUGCUUCGGUCAAUCGCCAUCCUUGUAGAGUGUAUAAUUGUUGCUUUGGUAGGCCGCCUUUGGGCACCGGCUUCGGCUGGCUCGCGCCUGCCAGAGGACCCCCAACCCUGUAUGUUAGUGAUGUCCGAGUACUAUAUAAUCGUUAAAACUUUCAACAACGGAUCUCUUGGUUCUGGCAUCGAUGAAGAACGCAGCGAAAUGCGAUAAGUAAUGUGAAUUGCAGAAUUCAGUGAAUCAUCGAAUCUUUGAACGCACAUUGCGCCCCUCGGUAUUCCGAGGGGCAUGCCUGUUCGAACGUCAUAAUUACCAAUCUAGCCUGGCUAGGUCUUGGGCGCCGCUUCCGGGCGCGCCCCAAAAGCAGUGGCGGUGCCGUCGGGCCCUAAGCGUAGUAAAUACCCUCGCUAUAGGGCCCCGGCGGAUGCCUGCCAGCAACCCCCCCAACAUAGGUUUGACUUCGGAUCAGGUAGGGAUACCCGCUGAACUUAA